GGGAUCUCAUGGUUGAUGUGGGUGUGGUCAGCAAUGGUGCUAGCCAUAGAGGUGCUGUCAGAGGUCCCAUAAUCGAUGGUCCAGUGAGGUCUUCGGGUUGAAUCAUGAUGAAGAUACCAAGAAAAAGAGGGAAGAAGCAGACUAGGUAGCUCUUUUUAUGAUGAAAUCGAGUACAUCACCGGUUAAAUCCCAACUGUCAGUGACCUCACAGGGGAGGGG
Molecule: long non-coding RNA, 219 nt
Filed under: Elaeis guineensis (African oil palm)
Lineage: Eukaryota; Viridiplantae; Streptophyta; Magnoliopsida; Arecales; Arecaceae
Description: long non-coding RNA (EGUI_LNC002363)
Source: RNAcentral